This is a long non-coding RNA of Anthonomus grandis grandis, 597 nucleotides long. RefSeq lists it as uncharacterized. NCBI's taxonomy places the organism in Eukaryota, Metazoa, Arthropoda, Insecta, Coleoptera, Curculionidae. The transcript is spliced from 2 exons. The record is from RefSeq and is a predicted model, not a curated record.
AUGCCGGUGAAGUCAAAAAAAAAUAAAAAUUGUGUUAAUUGUUGAUGAUAAUUAUAAAACUUAUCGUGAAGCAGCUCACAUAAGAAUAAUGAGAAUUAUGAAAAAAUUCAAAUCAUGUGAUACUAAUAAUAAAUUUAGCAACAAGCAUCUAAAAAUCGUUACAAAUGAAGAGGUAAAGGUGAUUGUUUUGAACCCUAAAGUGUCUCUGCGAAAAAGAGUAUCUUCGCUUCCAGAUAAAAUUGGAUAUAAACGACGACAGGUAUGGUACGAGCAUGAUGACGCAACAUGUGAUUAAUAACCCCUUUGGAUUUUUUCUUAUGGGGUAACUUAAAAGAAUAGGUAUAUUAAUAGAGGCCAUUCAUAAACGUAGAACAUUUGGAAACAAUUAUUACAAAAACAAUUGAGGAUAUAUCUCUGAAUAUAAUUAGAAAUGGAUUGAAGGAAUUUUCUUCUAGAACGGAAACCUGUAGUGUAAAACAAGGCGGAUACGUUGAAGCAAUAGUCAAUUGAUGAUAAACUUACACGCUUCUUAGGCAAUUAACAUUCUUAGCAUUGUAUACCAUGUAAUUAUUGUUAAAUAAAUAGUUUUGUUAUUUA